Molecule: long non-coding RNA, 1538 nt
Organism: Grus americana (Whooping crane)
Lineage: Eukaryota; Metazoa; Chordata; Aves; Gruiformes; Gruidae
Exons: 4
Source: RefSeq, a predicted model, not a curated record
UCCCGCCCCGCAGCCCGUCCCUUCGUUCCUUUCUCCUUCCCUCUCUGUCCCUCUCCCGGUCCCCGGCUUUAAACUCUGCUUCUCUGCCCGGUAGCUCGCCACCGUCUUACCUUUCCCCGUCUCUCUCUCUCUGUCCAGCUCCCUCUCUCGAAUUUUCAAUUCCUCCCUGUCACUGCAGAAGCCUGUCGGGACUUUUUCCCCUGCCCGGCUUGCCUCUCCCUGUCUCGCGAUUCCUCCUUCUCUGCCCUCUUAGCCGCGACCGUUUUUAUAUUCUCCGUCUCUCUCUCGGUCCGCCUCGAGAUCCCGAUUGUUUUUUAAAGGGACCGAAUCGUCGAGGUUGGCAGAGACCUUUAAGAUUAUCGGGUGGAACCGCGAACCUGGCGCUGGCAAGUCCCCCUCUGCCCCGCAGCCCGUCCCUUCCCUUCCGACGGCCUCUUUCUCCACCUCUCUCUGUCCGGCUCCCGGCCCCUCUUUUCCACUUCCGCCCUCUGUACCCUGUGGCUUUCCCCCUCUUCUUUCUCUCUCUGUCUCUGUUUGAGGAGGAGCAGCUGCCGCCCCAGCGUUCGCACCCCGUUCACGGUGUCGCGCGCACGCUUCUUCUCGGGCGCGCUUCCUCCUCCUCCUUUGGGCUCGACCCGAGGCUUCCGGCAGCAGUCUCCGGGUGUCGGAUUUUGUAAAAUAAUUAACGUAACUGAAAGGUGCAGCGGCGGGAUCGGCCCGGGCGGGGCGCCUCCAAAGAGAGGGACCCGGAACAAAGAAAUCCCGGGGCCGUUACACGCUUGGGUCCCGGACACCCGCCCCUCGCGCGCUGUCCGCGCGUCCCUUAGUCCCGCGGUGACUUUUGGUCUGGGGUCUUCUACCGUCGUCUCAGAUUCUUCUUCUGUAUAGCUGUGGGCGGUGCGUUAUUCUACAGGUGCUGCUGCGCCGAUGCUCCGUACGUUCGCAGUAACGGGUAGAGCGGAAGGCUCCGUGGCCAGGGAAGAGCGGCACGGACACGUUCCUGCUUGGUCCGUUGCACCGGAAUUUCGACGGCUGGGUUCGGCCGCUAAAUUGAUGGCGCUACCGGAAGAAAUUUCAGAAAAAAAGGGUGGCUUUUUCGUCGAUCUCUUUGUGAGAGUAUCAAAUCAGGUGGCGGUAAAUACGUAGAAGCAACUAGGCGUACUACGGCGUGUACCGGACAGCGUUGGCGUGCCGCUCUGCUAGCAGCGGAGAGCCAGAUGAGUAUGCCCGUGAUAUGAGAAAAGCUCUGUCCAGAGAUAUGGAGACGAAAUCAGUUGUACCUCAUCCCGUGACACCGGAAGACAUUGAGUAACUCGUCCUGCAGCUGGCUCCUCGGUUUUGGCGGCAGCCUGCACAUAGCAGCCCAGCUCUCCAGCAGCCUGACGGACCGACCGUGUGUCUGUUCCACGCCGGACUGGUGAGCGUGGCUCUGGGUAGGACAGCCGAGGUGCCCCAGGGCCGGGCCCCGAGCCCCAGUGCGGAGUCUCUCCCGGGACCGGCUCUGUGUUUGACUGAAUAAACGCUUGCGGUCUCUUUUG